GUCCGGGGACGACCCCGAGACCUCCAAACAACUGCGGGACGGCCCGC
RNAcentral lists this non-coding RNA (47 nucleotides) under Pseudomonas putida. RNAcentral describes it as "Guanidine-II sequence". It matches the Rfam family "Guanidine-II riboswitch aptamer (mini-ykkC)". Rfam says of the family: Simpler in structure and has fewer highly conserved nucleotide positions than the ykkC-yxkD leader. Lineage: Bacteria; Pseudomonadati; Pseudomonadota; Gammaproteobacteria; Pseudomonadales; Pseudomonadaceae. The record is from RNAcentral.